This 208-nucleotide ribosomal RNA is filed under the name Escherichia coli. RNAcentral describes it as "partial 23S ribosomal RNA". It matches the Rfam family "Bacterial large subunit ribosomal RNA", at positions 2735 to 2925 of the family's 2925-position model. Lineage: Bacteria; Pseudomonadati; Pseudomonadota; Gammaproteobacteria; Enterobacterales; Enterobacteriaceae. The record is from RNAcentral.
GCACUGCCCGGUAGCUAAAUGCGGAAGAGAUAAGUGCUGAAAGCAUCUAAGCACGAAACUUGCCCCGAGAUGAGUUCUCCCUGACUCCUUGAGAGUCCUGAAGGAACGUUGAAGACGACGACGUUGAUAGGCCGGGUGUGUAAGCGCAGCGAUGCGUUGAGCUAACCGGUACUAAUGAACCGUGAGGCUUAACCUUACAACGCCGAAG